RNAcentral lists this ribosomal RNA (905 nucleotides) under Escherichia coli. RNAcentral describes it as "partial 23S ribosomal RNA". It matches the Rfam family "Bacterial large subunit ribosomal RNA", at positions 361 to 1269 of the family's 2925-position model. The record is from RNAcentral. Lineage: Bacteria; Pseudomonadati; Pseudomonadota; Gammaproteobacteria; Enterobacterales; Enterobacteriaceae.
AGGGUGACAGCCCCGUACACAAAAAUGCACAUACUGUGAGCUCGAUGAGUAGGGCGGGACACGUGGUAUCCUGUCUGAAUAUGGGGGGACCAUCCUCCAAGGCUAAAUACUCCUGACUGACCGAUAGUGAACCAGUACCGUGAGGGAAAGGCGAAAAGAACCCCGGCGAGGGGAGUGAAAAAGAACCUGAAACCGUGUACGUACAAGCAGUGGGAGCACGCUUCGGCGUGUGACUGCGUACCUUUUGUAUAAUGGGUCAGCGACUUAUAUUCUGUAGCAAGGUUAACCGAAUAGGGGAGCCGAAGGGAAACCGAGUCUUAACUGGGCGUUAAGUUGCAGGGUAUAGACCCGAAACCCGGUGAUCUAGCCAUGGGCAGGUUGAAGGUUGGGUAACACUAACUGGAGGACCGAACCGACUAAUGUUGAAAAAUUAGCGGAUGACUUGUGGCUGGGGGUGAAAGGCCAAUCAAACCGGGAGAUAGCUGGUUCUCCCCGAAAGCUAUUUAGGUAGCGCCUCGUGAAUUCAUCUCCGGGGGUAGAGCACUGUUUCGGCAAGGGGGUCAUCCCGACUUACCAACCCGAUGCAAACUGCGAAUACCGGAGAAUGUUAUCACGGGAGACACACGGCGGGUGCUAACGUCCGUCGUGAAGAGGGAAACAACCCAGACCGCCAGCUAAGGUCCCAAAGUCAUGGUUAAGUGGGAAACGAUGUGGGAAGGCCCAGACAGCCAGGAUGUUGGCUUAGAAGCAGCCAUCAUUUAAAGAAAGCGUAAUAGCUCACUGGUCGAGUCGGCCUGCGCGGAAGAUGUAACGGGGCUAAACCAUGCACCGAAGCUGCGGCAGCGACACUAUGUGUUGUUGGGUAGGGGAGCGUUCUGUAAGCCUGUGAAGGUGUACUGUGAGGU